UGUAUUGAAGCUCAAAGAGCCUUUGGCCGUUAACCAAAAGGAUAAAGGUUCAAACCCUUUCAAUUCA
RNAcentral lists this transfer RNA (67 nucleotides) under Benthodytes marianensis. RNAcentral's name for it is "tRNA-Asn". It matches the Rfam family "tRNA". From Rfam's summary of the family: Transfer RNA (tRNA) molecules are approximately 80 nucleotides in length. Lineage: Eukaryota; Metazoa; Echinodermata; Holothuroidea; Elasipodida; Psychropotidae. The record is from RNAcentral. RNAcentral also lists the same sequence under 2 other names.